AGUGGACGCUGGCGGUAGGCCUAACACAUGCAAGUCGAACGGCAGCACAGUAAGAGCUUGCUCUUACGGGUGGCGAGUGGCGGACGGGUGAGGAAUACAUCGGAAUCUACUUUUUCGUGGGGGAUAACGUAGGGAAACUUACGCUAAUACCGCAUACGACCUACGGGUGAAAGCAGGGGAUCUUCGGACCUUGCGUGAUUGAAUGAGCCGAUGUCGGAUUAGCUAGUUGGCGGGGUAAAGGCCCACCAAGGCGACGAUCCGUAGCUGGUCUGAGAGGAUGAUCAGCCACACUGGAACUGAGACACGGUCCAGACUCCUACGGGAGGCAGCAGUGGGGAAUAUUGGACAAUGGGCGCAAGCCUGAUCCAGCCAUACCGCGUGGGUGAAGAAGGCCUUCGGGUUGUAAAGCCCUUUUGUUGGGAAAGAAAAGCAGCAGGUUAAUACCCCGCUGUUCUGACGGUACCCAAAGAAUAAGCACCGGCUAACUUCGUG
Molecule: ribosomal RNA, 492 nt
Filed under: uncultured bacterium
Lineage: Bacteria
Description: partial 16S ribosomal RNA
Rfam family: Bacterial small subunit ribosomal RNA
Source: RNAcentral